UAGGGAAAUCUAGUUGUGUGUGUGGUGGAAAUGGAACAGAAGCUAAAAGAGUACACAUUGAUAUAUUUUUCAACAUAUAUUGCCAGUUUAGUUUAGAUCAGGUGUGAGUUGUAAGUAUAGAUCAUGUAGAUUGUGAUUUAGAUUAAUUUAUACUAAGAUGUCGUCUUCAUCGCGGUUAAGGUGUUCGAUUUAUGAUCAUGAAAACUCUUAAAAUCGGAAUGUCGAAUUCAAAUAUUACCGCGGUUAAGGUGAGUGCAUUAUAAGAAUAAAAAAUCUGUAUUCCUUAAUU
Molecule: long non-coding RNA, 289 nt
Filed under: Daucus carota (carrot)
Lineage: Eukaryota; Viridiplantae; Streptophyta; Magnoliopsida; Apiales; Apiaceae
Description: long non-coding RNA (DCAR_LNC005656)
Source: RNAcentral